AACUUAAGUUCUCCACGUAUUCGUAAAUGCAUUAAAAAAUCACGCUCACACGGAUUCGAUGGCAAUCGUUGAGUGAAUAAAAAUCACGUGUAAAACGAAAUAUUCGAAGAAUGCAAGGAGAAUAUGUAUCAUGGCGACCGUCGAUUAAUGGCGGACUCAACUAUUUCACGAUCGUUAUUUAGAUUAUACAAUGAUAUCACAUUGGAAAAUCUUUAAAGAUAUUUUUAAUUCACUACUCAUUUAAUUAAUCGGUAUAAUAUAGAAAUAUUUUUUUCAGUUUCACAAUUAUCAUCAUUUAGAUGUUAUAUCAUGUUUUUGAGAUGAAGGAACGAAUACUGACAUGUAAUCAAAUUUUAACUUCCUAUGAGACGAGCGUAAAACUAGCCAAUCAGAGAAGAGUUUCACUACACUCCAAAGGAAUUAAUAUUUCAUUGAAUUGUAUAUAAAAAGGUUCCAUUGAUAAUGAUAAUGAUAAAAUAUGUUCCAUUGAUAUCAGAUUUAAUUAGAUUUAAUAGGGGAUUUUCAAAAAAAUUAAAUUGUGUAUUCUGGAAUGAAAGGAAUUAAUUAUGAAUAAAAAUGUCAAUGUAUUUUUAAUUGAACAUUACAAAAUUUUUUGAAUACCUAUCAAUUGUUUACAAACUUAUAUAGAAGAAGAAAGAAGAAGGAAGAAGAUUAAGUUACAGUCUACAUUCCUGUUUCUCAAAACAUCUGUUUUUCUUUAAUUUUUACAUAUUGAAUUCAUUUAUACAAUACAUUAUUGUUUAUAAUCUUACUGAAAUUUAAAAGCAAGUGUUUUCAUUUUGUAUAUUACAGAUUUAAAAAAUAAUGAGUGAUUGUAUUAAUAAACUAUGCACUGUAGUGCAUUAUUAUAGACAUGAAAAAUAUGUACAAUCUCUGUUUAAUUGUAAAAUGUUUACACAUUCCCACAUUUUUAUGAUAUAAUUCGUGUGAGACAAAUAUUUGGCAUUCAAUAUAUAUAUCUUGUUAGGCUCUAUUUUUUAAUAUUUUAAUAUCAAUAUUUAAAUAUGUACAGAAACAAGUUAGUAAAAUUUGUGUAUACUUCAUGCAUUUUAGCCCAGAUGAUGUAACAUAUCGAUUAUAAAACAUGAUAGACCAAUAAUUUAUAUUUGUAAUUAAUUAAUUGUUCUGGCGUAUAAAGAUAAUUAUAAUCCUAAGUAUAAACAAUCAAAUUUUUAUAAUCUAUAUUUUUGUAAUGUAAAUAACGUUUGAUUGUUCUAUACAAACACAUAAAUCAAAAAUUUAUAUAUGGAAGAUUUUACAAA
This 1283-nucleotide unclassified non-coding RNA is filed under the name Bombus terrestris (buff-tailed bumblebee). Its description in RNAcentral is "misc RNA ENSBTSG00005038394.1". Lineage: Eukaryota; Metazoa; Arthropoda; Insecta; Hymenoptera; Apidae. The record is from RNAcentral.